AGUGAACGCUGGCGGUAGGCCUAACACAUGCAAGUCGAACGGCAGCACAGUAAGAGCUUGCUCUUACGGGUGGCGAGUGGCGGACGGGUGAGGAAUACAUCGGAAUCUACUUUUUCGUGGGGGAUAACGUAGGGAAACUUACGCUAAUACCGCAUACGACCUACGGGUGAAAGCAUGUGAUCUUCGGACCUUGCGCGAUUGAAUGAGCCGAUGUCGGAUUAACUAGAUGGCGGGGUACAGGCCCACCAAGGCGACGAUCCGUAGCUGGUCUGAGAGGAUGAACAGCGACAAAGGAACUGAAACAACGUACAGGCUACGACGGAAGGCCCCACUGGCGACGUAUGUACAAUGAGCGCAAGACUAAUCCAGCCCAACGCAGCAGGUGAAGAACUCCUGCGGGUUUUAAAGCCCUUUUGUUCAGAAAAACAAGCAACAGCUGAAUUCCUAGCUGUACUGACGAUACCCAAAGAAUAAGUACCGGCAAAAUUCGUG
This 492-nucleotide ribosomal RNA is filed under the name uncultured bacterium. Its description in RNAcentral is "partial 16S ribosomal RNA". It matches the Rfam family "Bacterial small subunit ribosomal RNA", at positions 29 to 507 of the family's 1533-position model. The record is from RNAcentral.